CGUGCCAGGCCGGAGCACGGAGGUAUAGCGGGAACUCGUCUUCAGGAAGGGCAAAAGCGAGAACGUAGGACAGAAGAGAGACAGGAGGGAGGCAGGGAGGCCGAACCGCACUACAUCUCCCGGGAUGCUCAGCAAGAGGGAGAGCCGAGCCCCGCCCCGGCCCGCCCAACCGGUACAGCAGGCGCUGCCCACCCCACGGAGCCCGGCGGCGCGCAGAGGCUACAAGUGCUGCGGCUUGUGAGCGGGGUACUUUCCCGAGGAGCCGCGCAAGGACAAGCGCGCGGUGCUCGAGCCUCGCUGGGUGGCCAAGGCAGGAGACAUGAAUAAGUCGACUGAGGAAAAUAUAGUAGAAAGAAGAAUUCGUCAGCACAUUGUCAGGUAAGUAUAAGGAUUACACCAUAUAAAUAGCUACGAUGAAUAAUUUAUUUGAUAGAUAGAUGGCAUCAUUUGGUCUGAACUGUACUUCAACAGUUUUCCUUCCUCUUCUUUUAGGGCUUUUAUGAGUUUAGGUUUUGUGUCAGAAUAUACGUCAGUGGAAAAAGAAAUACCUGUUUAACAAUUAAAAAAUAUUCUUAUUUGCCAAGAGGCCUAUAGUUAUUCUGAGAAGUUGGUUUUACUGUUGUUGAUUUCUAUCCAAUUGCAAAAGAAAAACAGAUUAGUAGGAAAAUUACUAAUUUAUUUUCUCACUGUGCUAAACCAUCCUGGUUUUAAAAAAGGAAUGGCCCACUUUGUAGCUUGUUACUCACAGACUGAACUUCUUCCUGCUCAGGGAGAGUGAGUGGAAAGUAAAACUACUCUAUAUGAUAAAUACAAGGAACUUUAGAGUUGGAUAUAGGCAUCUAGGGAGAAAAGAGAAGGACAGAGGGAGAAAAGAACAGAGGGAGAGGGCCCGAGAAAGUGGUUAGAGGCUUCAGAAGGAAAAGUCUACUUGUUGACAAAUUCCCAGUUGCAAAGAUGGCAGAAGGGUUUUGAAAAUCAGCGAUGUUGCAUAUUUAAUAUUAAGCUGGUCCCUAGUCCUAAUUAUUCUGUAUGUUCUCUCUCAAUGUCUUUAAGCCUUUCAUACAAGUCAGCCAUAUAUAACAGCCUCAUAUUAGUGGAGCCAUGGGGAAUUUAAGGGUAGGACAUAGAAGAGAAGGGCAGACCCCUUGGCAUUACUCUUCUGCUGAUGCCCACAUGGUGGAGGCACCAGCAGUCGAGGGGGCUGCUUGUUCCAGAAUUCCAUGAUCUUUAGCAAAGCAAGUGAAGAUGUGAACUAGACCUAAGAGCAGAAGGUAGAUGCUAGCAUUAGUAGAAAAGUAGGCUCUGGUAUGCACUGACGUACUUUUAAUUUCUCCCAAACUGGCUAGAGGAAGGGGGUCCUUGAAAAGAGUUGUGAUGAGGGUGGGGGAGGGAAGUGGUUGUGGAUGAAAGCUACAAACACUUGUGUUAUGGGAGUAAAUGGUAGAAAUUGAGAUAGGAAACAACAACUACAUGUCAUGGUUAUGUAAACUGAAGUUUAUUCUACCAAUAAUGGAGGAAAUACUGUGAUUUUCUUAAAAAGAAAAAUGGCAUAAUCAGAAUUUAGUUUUAGAAAGAAAACUCAGAUAAUGGGGUAGAGAUCAGAUUGGAAAAGUGGGUAAAGACUGUUGGGAAACAAUAGAAAGGGGCCAAGGAGAAAUGAUGAACUUGAAGAGUGAAGGAAGAAACUGAGAGGAGGUAAUAUAUUAGGCAUUUCAAAGAUCAGAUAAAGUUAAUGACUGAUUUGAAUAGGGUGGGGCCAUUGAGAGAAAUCACUUGGAUAAUUUGUCACUGACCAAGUUAUGAAAAGCACAGGAAAAAGCACUACGUUUGGUGGAAAAAAGAUAUGCUGUGUUUGAGGUAUGUGGGGGACAUUCAAGUGAAGGUGUCUAACGGUCAGUGGAAAAAUGAGUCUGGAGUACUAGAAUGAGGUUGGGUUUAUUUGUGAUAUAAAGGUAUGUGACAAUAUUCUCUUAACCCAAAAUUAGGGCCCAGGGUCUUUCAAAUUUUCAAUGGUGAGUGAAUUUAUUUUCAUGAAAAAGUUUUAUGAAUAUGAGAAUGUGGAAGUAUAUUGUUAGAUUUUAAUUAGUUACCAUCAAGUAAAAAAAUAAAGCCACUGAAAUCAAAACAUCCCUGGAAAAUCCAGGAUAUAUGGUCACUAUACUUUCAUCUCAUCUAUUUCAAAGAGGGUCAAUACAAUUGUGAUGUAAACCAAAGCUUAAUAAUAUUCAAAAUCAAUCAGAAGGAAAGCAAGGGAAUACCUGAAGUUAGUCAAUAGCCACAAUAAAAGUUUAAAAGUUAACCUUGAGGUUUCUAUUAAACAAAGUGAAAAAUAGAGUGAAGAAUAUUGGAUCACAGUUAUGAAGUACCUGAUAAAAAGAAAGUCUAGAUAUUAAUUUAGACAGAGAAACAUUUCCUUGUGCAAAAUUUUAGGAGGUAUUAUCAUGUGGAUCUUUAGAUAAAGGCCAAUGAGUAACAUAAUGGAAAAUCAUUUUAGUAAGGCUAAGAAAUGUUCUUCAUAUCAUUAAGUCCGAAAGGAAGAUAGGUUUUUCAGAAAACUAGGAUACUACAGCCCAAGUUGCUUUCUGAUGAUAACUUAAUUAAGGAAUGGAGCCGGAAUUAUCUUGAGGAUUGAAUAGUUAGCAUGCUUCUCCGGCUGACUCUUAAAUAUUGAUUUUUUUCAAGUAAGCUUCUUACAAAAUUGCUGAAUUUCUGAUCUUUUGUUGAAUUCUCUGAUGGGUGUCUAGAAAGUAUGUUUCAAAUGCUUCAGGUGUCAGUUAUAGGGGAAGAGUUGAGAUUCUACAGUGAAAACUUCAGAGGCUCCUUUUUAUGUUGGUCUGUAUGGAAGUUCUUACCAUGUGUCCGUGAAUGGGGUCCACUAGGGACCAGGCAAAAGUCCAUCUAACUUAAAAAAUUAUUUUGAAAUUUUUCAAUC
This 2932-nucleotide long non-coding RNA is filed under the name Delphinapterus leucas (beluga whale). Its description in RNAcentral is "lncRNA (ENSDLEG00000003104.1)". Lineage: Eukaryota; Metazoa; Chordata; Mammalia; Artiodactyla; Monodontidae. The record is from RNAcentral.